GGCAGCGGUCUGCUCCUCCCUCCUCAUACGGUACAGGGACCUAAAUUGUGUAGUUCCAAAGAGACGGAACAGAGGAAAACCUGGAACAUUCGGUGCAGAGAGCUGGCAUGACAACAGCAAGCAAAAACGUGUAGUAGUGCAUGUGAGGUGGUACAGAUUAAAACAGCCCACAGGCUACACAGUGCCAGUGCCUGCUGAGAGGAAAAGAAGGAAUCCAAGCCAUCUGAUUUUCAGGCCCAUAUUUCAUUACCUCCUGUAAGGGAACAGAAAAACUAAGCAUAAGAAGACCUCACUGCGAAGCUUCUACCUUCUCCUCCACAAAUGAAGAAGAAAAUGACUCACCUCAUCCUGCUUGGCAGCAUCUG
Molecule: long non-coding RNA, 365 nt
Filed under: Gallus gallus (chicken)
Lineage: Eukaryota; Metazoa; Chordata; Aves; Galliformes; Phasianidae
Description: long non-coding RNA NONGGAT002363
Source: RNAcentral